CGCAUCUGUGCAUGCAGCAUAUCAAUAAGCGGAGGAAAAGAAACUAACAAGGAUUCCCUAGUAACGGCGAGUGAAGCGGGAAGAGCUCAAAUUUGAAAUCUUAAAGGUUUUACCUUGACGAAUUGUAGUUUAAAGAAGUGUUUUCUGCUGAAGUUUUGGUAAAAGUUCUUUGGAAUAGGACAUCAUAGAGGGUGAGAAUCCCGUAUUUGACCAUUAUUUUCAGCUUUGUGAUACACUUUCAAAGAGUCGGAUUGUUUGGGAAUGCAGACCAAAAUGGGUGGUAAAUUUCAUCUAAAGCUAAAUAUUGGCGAGAGACCGAUAGCGAACAAGUACCGUGAGGGAAAGAUGAAAAGAACUUUGAAAAGAGAGUUAAACAGUACGUGAAAUUGUCAAAAGGGAAGCGUUUGACACCAGUGUUGUUUUUCUGAAAAUCAAUUAAAGAACUGUUUAUGCUAAGCUUGUUUAGACUUUAUCAGCUAAUCUGUUUAGUUUUGAGCUUUUCUUUAAUGCACUUUUCAGUUAACAAGUCAACAUCAAUUUCUUUUGCUGUAAAAAAGCUUGAGGAAGGUGGCUUGAGAUUCGUCUUAAGUGUUUAUAGCCUCUUGCCUAUGCAGUCGGAGAGAUUGAGGUCUGCAGCGUAGAUCCUUCGGAGCUAAAUGCAUUUGUGCUAAGUUAUAGCAUUUUAUAGACAACUUGUUGACUAUGAUUUGUCUUGUAGCUUACUCGCUUAUGUUAUUUUACCUACGCUUAGGAUGUUGAUAGUCACAGCGUGUAC
Molecule: ribosomal RNA, 775 nt
Filed under: uncultured Neocallimastigales
Lineage: Eukaryota; Fungi; Neocallimastigomycota; Neocallimastigomycetes; Neocallimastigales
Description: partial large subunit ribosomal RNA
Rfam family: Eukaryotic large subunit ribosomal RNA
Source: RNAcentral